UGGGUUUGUCCUAAGUCAACCUUCUAUUCUUCUAUAAGUUUAACCAAGUUUUAUAGAAAAAUAGAUAGCAAUAUUUUCAACACAAAACAAAUAUAGUAUAAAAAUAGUCAAUGGUGGAUUUAAUGAAACUAAUUUGGUGUUGUAGAUAUUGCUACUUUUUUCUAUAAACUUGGUCAAACUCGAGAAGUUUGACUUAUGACAAACCCAA
Oryza punctata is the source of this 208-nucleotide non-coding RNA. Lineage: Eukaryota; Viridiplantae; Streptophyta; Magnoliopsida; Poales; Poaceae. The record is from Rfam.